CUUCACCGAGCCCAGCCACAGCGGCCGCUCCGCCGACCGGUCACGCCCGUACGUCGCGAGCAGGGCCUCGGCCUC
Molecule: antisense RNA, 75 nt
Filed under: Kitasatospora aureofaciens
Lineage: Bacteria; Bacillati; Actinomycetota; Actinomycetes; Kitasatosporales; Streptomycetaceae
Description: ASpks TB sRNA
Rfam family: ASpks TB sRNA
Source: RNAcentral